This 406-nucleotide ribosomal RNA is filed under the name uncultured bacterium. Its description in RNAcentral is "partial 16S ribosomal RNA". It matches the Rfam family "Bacterial small subunit ribosomal RNA", at positions 30 to 526 of the family's 1533-position model. The record is from RNAcentral.
AUUGAACGCUGGCGGCAGGCCUAACACAUGCAAGUCGAACGAGUGGCGGACGGGUGAGUAAUGUCUGGGACACUGCCUGAUGGAGGGGGAUAACUACUGGAAACGGUAGCUAAUACCGCAUACCAUCGGAUGUGCCCAGAUGGGAUUGGCGAGGAGGUGGGGUAACGGCUCACCUAGGCGACGAUCCCUAGCUGGUCUGAGAGGAUGACCAGCCACACGGGGACUGAGACACGGUCCAGACUCCUACGGGAGGCAGCAGUGGGGAAUAUUGCACAAUGGGCGCAAGCCUGAUGCAGCCAUGCCGCGUGUAUGAAGAAGGCCUUCGGGUUGUAAAGUACUUUCAGCGGGGAGGCGUUACCCGCAGAAGAAGCACCGGCUAACUCCGUGCCAGCAGCCGCGGUAAUUC